This 253-nucleotide ribosomal RNA is filed under the name uncultured bacterium. RNAcentral describes it as "partial 16S ribosomal RNA". It matches the Rfam family "Bacterial small subunit ribosomal RNA", at positions 524 to 776 of the family's 1533-position model. The record is from RNAcentral.
UACGAAGGGGACUAGCGUUGUUCGGAAUCACUGGGCGUAAAGCGCACGUAGGCGGAUUCGUAAGUCAGGGGUGAAAUCCCGGGGCUCAACCUCGGAACUGCCUUUGAUACUGCGGGUCUUGAGUCCGAUAGAGGUGGGUGGAAUUCCUAGUGUAGAGGUGAAAUUCGUAGAUAUUAGGAAGAACACCGGCGGCGAAGGCGGCCCACUGGAUCGGUACUGACGCUGAGGUGCGAAAGCGUGGGGAGCAAACAGG